CCCUUAGAUGUCCGGGGCCGCACGCGCGCUACACUGAAGGAAUCAGCGUGGCUUUCUCCCUGACCCGAAAGGGUUGGGAAACCCGUUGAAUCUCCUUCGUGAUAGGGAUUGGGGCUUGAAAUUGUUCCCCAUGAACGAGGAAUUCCCAGUAAGCGCGAGUCAUAAGCCCGCGUUGAUUACGUCCCUGCCCUUUGUACACACCGCCCGUCGCUACUACCGAUUGAACGGUUUAGUGAGGGCCUCGGAUUGGUCUCGGCCCGCUCUUUACCGGGCGGCGCCGUUGGUCGAGAAGACGCUCGAACUUGAUCGUUUAGAGGAAGUAAAAGUCGUAACA
RNAcentral lists this ribosomal RNA (334 nucleotides) under uncultured eukaryote. RNAcentral describes it as "partial 18S ribosomal RNA". It matches the Rfam family "Eukaryotic small subunit ribosomal RNA", at positions 1470 to 1796 of the family's 1831-position model. The record is from RNAcentral.